Molecule: transfer RNA, 90 nt
Filed under: Bacillota bacterium
Lineage: Bacteria; Bacillati; Bacillota
Also listed under: 5 other names
Description: tRNA-Ser
Rfam family: tRNA
About the family: Transfer RNA (tRNA) molecules are approximately 80 nucleotides in length. Their secondary structure includes four short double-helical elements and three loops (D, anti-codon, and T loops).
Source: RNAcentral
GGAGAGAUGGCCGAGCGGAUGAAGGCGCACGCCUGGAGAGCGUGUGGGCGGGUAACCGCCUCGUGGGUUCGAAUCCCACUCUCUCCGCCA